RNAcentral lists this ribosomal RNA (497 nucleotides) under uncultured bacterium. RNAcentral describes it as "partial 16S ribosomal RNA". It matches the Rfam family "Bacterial small subunit ribosomal RNA", at positions 28 to 507 of the family's 1533-position model. The record is from RNAcentral.
GAUGAACGCUGGCGGCGUGCCUAAUACAUGCAAGUCGAGCGAACGGACGAGAAGCUUGCUUUUCUGAUGUUAGCGGCGGACGGGUGAGUAACACGUGGAUAACCUACCUAUAAGACUGGGAUAACUUCGGGAAACCGGAGCUAAUACCGGAUAAUAUUUUGAACCGCAUGGUUCAAAAGUGAAAGACGGUCUUGCUGUCACUUAUAGAUGGAUCCGCGCUGCAUUAGCUAGUUGGUAAGGUAACGGCUUACCAAGGCAACGAUGCAUUGCCGACCUGAGAGGGUGAUCGGCCACACUGGAACUGAGACACGGUCCAGACUCCUACGGGAGGCAGCAGUAGGGAAUCUUCCGCAAUGGGCGAAAGCCUGACGGAGCAACGCCGCGUGAGUGGUGAAGGUCUUCGGAUCGUAAAACUCUGUUAUUAGGGAAGAACAUAUGUGUAAGUAACUGUGCACAUCUUGACGGUACCUAAUCAGAAAGCCACGGCUAACUACGUG